CCCACCCGUGCGUGGUGCCCUCGGGAACCCUCGGCUGGAGGGACUCGCUCUCCAGCCGAGCCCGGUCGGGGCAGAGCCCGGUCUGCAGCUGCGAGGACCGGAGCGGCGGGAGGUGGCGCCUCUGUUCUGGAGCCGGGAUUCGCGGCCAUGACAGUGUCGGCCCGCGCCUUCUGGCUGCUCCGCGGCCGCCUGGGCCGAGUGUCGGCGUUGGGCCGGAACGCGGCGUCGCUCUUGGCGGCGCCGGGAACGGCCGGGCGCGCGUUCCGGGGCUUUCGGAGCAGCGGCUUGAGACAUGACGCAAUUAUUAUCUCAGGAACUGAAAUGGCCAAACAAAUCCAGAAAGAAAUACAGCGAGGUGUGGAAUCUUGGAUUUCUCUUGGGAAUGGAAGACCUCACCUCAGUAUCAUUUUAGUGGGUGAUAACCCAGCAAGCCACACAUACGUCAGGAAGAAGAUCAAAGCUGCUGCUGCCGUAGGUAUCUGUAGUGAGAUCAUUCUAAAACCUAAGGAUGUUUCUCAGGAAGAACUUUUGGAUAUAACCAAUCAAUUGAACAUGGACCCAAGAGUCAGUGGUAUAUUAGUUCAGUUGCCACUGCCAGACCACGUGGAUGAGCGGACAGUAUGCAAUGGAAUUGCCCCGGAAAAAGACGUAGAUGGAUUUCAUAUUAUUAACAUUGGAAGACUAUGCCUGGAUCAGCAUUCUCUCAUACCUGCCACUGCUAGUGCUGUUUGGGAAAUUAUCAAACGAACAGGAAUUGAAACAUUUGGAAAAAAUGUGGUUGUGGCUGGAAGAUCCAAGAAUGCAGGGAUGCCCAUCGCCAUGCUCUUACACACUGAUGGAGAGCACGAACGGCCAGGAGGUGAUGCAACUGUGACAAUAGCUCACAGAUAUACUCCCAAAGAACAACUGAAGAUCCAUACUCUGCUGGCAGAUGUUAUCGUAGUAGCUGCAGCCUCACCUCUGACUCAUCAUUGUGAAACCAAGAAAUCAUUUAGCCUCUCAGCACCUCAGAAUCUCCCUUCUGUGAACGAGGAUAAUGGGUAUUCCAAAGUUGAUUACAUCUGAUAUGGUUAAAGAAGGUGCUGCUGUAAUUGAUGUGGGUAUCAACUAUGUCCAUGACCCAAUGACAGGAAAGACAAAAUUAGUUGGAGACGUGGACUUUGAAGCUGUUAAGAAGAAGGCUAGCUUUAUCACUCCAGUUCCAGGAGGCGUGGGACCCAUGACAGUGGCAAUGCUUCUCAAGAACACCCUUCUGGCAGCUAAAAAAAUCAUUUACUAGAUCACAUGAAAGAAUAAAGCAAACUGAAGUCAUGCUACGUAUCUAUUUGACAAAAGGCAAAAACCUUUAUAUUUUACUACAAAGCUAUUUCUACAUUGUAUUUAUUUUUUCACAGAUGGAAUCAUUGUGGAUCAGAUGAUUCACACAAUCUUAUGCAUUUCCUGCUAAUAAUUACUGAAUAUUUUGAGUGGAUAUUGAGUUUUAGGAAAAGAAAACAAAACAACUGCAAUGAAAACUUUGGUAACAAUUGUUUAUUUUGUGAUUAAUAUUUGUUCAUAACGUUAAAACUAAUAAAGGGCUCAUAAUAAAUGCAUAUAUUUUUGACACAAAUAGUGUGUUUUCAACAAACAUUUUGUCAGACAAAUAAGCUCCCUUGUAAAAUGUGAUUUAGGUUUUGCCAUAAUUAUGGCCAAUUUUUAUAUAUUUUAUGUACUAUAUCAUAUGAUGAAAAAGAGUUUAUUUGCUAAAGGAAAGAUAAAAUAUUAAAAAUAAUAUUUUGAUCUCAUAUACUUCCCAAAUGCAUCCUACGAGGCAUACUAAUGAGAAAUGAUGCUCCAUUCGAAGAAAGAAAAACAUGCAAGGAAGGCAAAAAAUGCAGUGCUACUUGGAAAGGUAUUGAUUAUUUCAAAUGGUGAAUUACUACUUGCCAAGUAAAAAUGCAAUAAGAAUGUGUUAGGUUUACAUGCAAUUCCUUUGUUCUUCUAGAAAAAUAUUUGGAUAAUACCUUCCUUGAAGAAUAAUGGAAACUCCAAAACCAAACAAAUAUACAAAACAAAACUAAGGUUGUAUUUUCCCACAAAUAUCAGGAAAACACAAUAUAGUAUGAAUGAGGACUUCAUUAAAGAAUAGAAGUUAUGUUUGUUCACAAAUCUAGAAAUCUAAUAGAAAAAUAUGACACAAUGUGCCCAAGCUAAGCCUUAGGAUAUGACUAAAAAUCUAUUGCUUUGUUCCUCACAGUUCUUCCUUCUUCUCUUAUAGCAUUUGGUUCUCAAAGUAGAUGUCAUGUUUCUAACACAAUUUAAAUUAGAAAAAACAUGUGACUGUCCGUUGGAGGCUAUUUUGAGACUACCCUGGGCAUAUAAUUGUAUUGCUUUCAGGUCCAAAUCCCAGUCUGUUUAUGUACCAGUAAUGAUUCUUACCCAAUGCAUGUCGUUAUUAGUGUAUACUCUUGAUCAUUUGUGUGAAAAUAGACUAGAUGUUUAUAAUUAAUAUUUCAACUGUAUAAUAAAACCAGUUUGGAAAGGAA
RNA transcript from Lagenorhynchus albirostris (white-beaked dolphin), 2525 nucleotides. It is a transcript of the gene named methylenetetrahydrofolate dehydrogenase (NADP+ dependent) 2 like, with no coding region annotated. The record is from RefSeq and is a predicted model, not a curated record. NCBI's taxonomy places the organism in Eukaryota, Metazoa, Chordata, Mammalia, Artiodactyla, Delphinidae. The transcript is spliced from 9 exons.